UGGACGACGUGGGGGCGGGACUUCCGGAGCUGUCUUCCUGGGAUCUCGGCGGUUCUGGGGUCAGUCCUGAUCCGCCGGCGCGGAGAGCUGGGUGGGUUCCGGGCUGGGGCUCCCGGGGGCAGGGCCGCGCGCUCUCUGAGGAGGUGGCCACGUGCUUAUCCUGGAGGAGUGGCUCGUGGAUAAGGCUCGGGCCCUGCUGUGUGGGGACUGACGCGGGCGCACUUCGCACUUGCGGCCCCGGGGUGGUGGACAUGCAGCGGAGGGCGAGGCACCUUCCGAGCAGGGCGUUUUCGUAAGAGUCUCAGGGUAGGGCGCCGGUGCAGCCAGAGGCCCGUUCCGUGGCAUGUGUGGCUCAGGCUCGAAGACGUUUGCUCCUGGCUGAGAACAGGGAGCCACUGCGGGCAGAAACUACAGUAGAGAGGGGUGUGGGAGAGGCUUCGGCUUCAGCUUUCCCCAGCUCCGAAGCAGCACAGCCGAGAGAAACCCUGCAGAAGUGGGCGGGGCAGGGCCUUGUGAAGCGCCAUGGAGUCCACGUAGGAGUUGGGGUUGAUUUAUUGACAAGUACAGCCACGCCCUUAGUGUGCAGGGAGGACCGGUUCCUCGCCGGCCCGGGCCUCCUCCCGCACCGGGCCAUUCACAGUGGGCCGCAGGCGGAGAGACCUUUCACACGGGGAAGUACAGCAGAUGUGAAGGAGCCGCGGGCAGCCACACUGGAGGAAGGCCUGAGUGCAGUUAACGUGGGAAAUCUUUGCCACAACGCCGACCUCAUUCAGCACCAGAGAAUCAACCGUGGAGAAGAGCCUUACGGGUGUAGCCACCGUGGGAAGGAUGCAUUCAGCAAAGGACACACACUUGUUUGGCAUCAGAAGCUUCACAACACAAAGGCCUAGUGAGUUCAGUAAAUAUCAGACAACCUUUGGCCAUACCUGUGAGCUCAUUCAGCGUCAGAAAGUUUAUACUUCGAAUGCAUGGAAUGAAAACAUUUUGACAAAGCUCUGCCCUGAUUUGGCACUGGAAGGGUUGCAACCCAGAAAUAUGAGUACAGCAAACACGGGAAACCUGCCAAAACCUCCAACUGGUGUUUCACAAAAGCCCGUUAAGUAUGACCAGUGUGAGAAAGCCUUAAGCUUCAGGGCCAUCCUCGUUCAGCCCUAGCAGAUUCACACUCAAGAGGAAGACUUUCCACCAAAGAGGCUUCCUCAUUCGGCACCAGAAGGUUCACUGUAGAGAAAGGCCUAAGAGUGCAGCCAAAGUGAGAAAACCUCCAGUCAGAGGCCUCACCUCGUAAGGCAUCAGAGAAGGGCUUUAAGUGUGCGGGGAACGUGCAUUCUCCCUGUUCAGCAUAACAGAUGGUGUGCCAGAGACCAGCUCUGAGAGUAGCCUCUGUUGAGGAUGCUGUCGGCUGAAGUUGGACUUCAUACGCUCAGGCACCCACACGGGAUAAUUCCUAAUGAGUACUAGGUGUGUGAGGAGCUUUCGGGAGCCACAUGGCACUUUCUGACCUGCCCAGGGCCUUUGCCAGAAUUCUCUCUUUGCCAGUGCCAGUGGUAGAAGUCAUCUCACCAUUCUGCCAGCUGGGAGGGACUCGUAAACUGCUUAUUCCAGUCCCUGGUGGGACCACGGGCAGCCGGGGCCCAUUGAUGGGCCUUCGUCGCUUCCUGAUGAGUUAGGGUGUAGGUAUGACCCAGCUGUGGCUAGGAGGAUCGCUGGGGUCUUUCUGUGGCUUUCAGGGAUGGUUUACCUUUUUUUAAGGGACGUUGUUGGCCUCGUGUGACUCUUGAUGGAUUUGUCCAGCUUCCAAGUCAAACUUCCAAGGGGACUGCCUGCUGUGCUCCUCUGGAGCCCCAUCGUCUCCCUUGAAAUCAGAGAGCCCAUCCCAGGGGUGGCACCUCCACCAUCAUACCUGCCUGCCAAGGACAGCAGUCCUGAGGCUGUUCCUGGACGUGAAUGCUCCUCUGACUAAUGUGUUCUCAGUUCCCAAGUGAAAGGAAUGUCUUCCAGGACUUAGUGAAGUGUGUGGACGGGAGGUGUGUAAGCUCUUCUUCCUGAAGUGUAGUGCCACUCCUGUCCUUCUGGAGCAUGCUGUGAUUCGACCUUAGUCAUGUGGUUGUGGUGGGUCUUGAGAGAGGGUAUCCCCUUUCAAGGCAUCUUCCCUUGGCGAAGUUGUCACAGGAUUUUCAAGCAAAGAGAGAAUAAUUUUCCAAGACACUGUGGCCAAGAUGCUUCUACUGGUGAGAGAGGCUUAGAAUGACUUCGCACUUCAAGAUGAUCGGUUUCCCUGGGUCUAACCAAAUGUCCUCGCUCCAGGUUUCAUGCUCCCACCUUUCCCAGCCAAUGCCUGACUUUCCCCUGAGAUACUGGUGAGACUGUGAACUCCACGUUGUUGUUCACCAGCAAUACAAUUAACUUUUCUGUAUGAUUUUUAGGAACAUGACUCCUGUGACUGCAAGAAAAGAGCUUCAUUUAGGGCUGUCAUUGAAGUAUUCUGGUUCUCACUUGUCCUGAGUUGAGUCACCACGACUUGUCAUUUUCUCUCUGUAUGCACUCUAGUGCACUCAAGAGACUAUCCCAUACUGUGUCCCUGUAGUCAUCCUUACCACCAUAAAAAAAAAAAGUUCAGUAGCCACUGAGGCUCGAGGUCACUGGCUUCAGACAGUACUUCAUCGCAAGCAACCGAAGGCGACUGUGUGAUUAGUUCUGAUGCCGGUGUGCCCGCAGGCCACGGGUACUGAGCAUUUCCCGCUGGCCGUGAGCACAGCACUUGUUAAGCUUGAGAUUCCAACAGAUCAGUUCCCAAAUGCCAUCUUUGCAAGUCUGUCUCCUGUGGGCACUCCUGGUACCAGUUCUGUAUCAGCCAGGGUCCAGUCCAACAGGCAGUAACCACACAAUAAUUUGAGCAAGGAAGAUUUGAUGUAAAGAAUUAUUAACUACUUCCAGGGAGAAAGAAGAGGAUUCUAAGGGAUACCCUGAGGGGGAGUACCCAAGGAAGAAUAAACAAGGAAGGGAGGAGGCCUCCUUAAGGCUGGACUGAGACCUGGUUGGAGAUGCUGCUGUUUUAGCUCGACAGACAGACAGCGGAGAAGUUUUCCAGGUUGAUCUGGACCAGAGAUGGUCCAUGUUUGUUCUUCCAAGACUGAUGGGCAAGAACGCUGAGCUGGCGGAAGGUGGGACCCCCAUCCCCGGAACCCGCACCCCUGGCAGUGGGAUGCCUAUGGAAGUGGGAUGGCUACAUAAUUCACCUGGGAGCUGCCCGGGGUGAAGGGAGGUGCUAUCAACUUUGCUUAGAAGCCCACUCGGGUGUGGCUGGGCUUGCUGGUGAGCUGCUGAGAACCCCUCGAUGGGGGUGCCCUUGAACUCCCUGGAGGCUGGCUGGGGUACCUGCAGAACUUGCGGGAAGCUGCUCACAGGGGUGCCAUGGACCGCUCCACCAGGAAGUCAUCUCAGGUGCCCUGAAGCUCACUGGGCUCCACUGGCUGCGCAGCACUCCAGUCAAACACUGUGGGAACCAGAGGAAGGCAGGCGCCCAGGACCAGGGAGAGAGGCUUCCUCCUCCAGCAUCCCUCCAGCUCCUCCACCAGCAGAGCCUGGCGCCACGCUGGCUGGCCGGGAAGAACCCGUCUGGCUUCCGAAGCAGGACAGUGAAAAGCGGAGUCAGGGCUGAGAGGCGACACGUUCACAACUGGCACAGCUAAACUCCUUUUAUGAAGUUAAAACAACCUUGAUGACAAAACCCAACAAAGAUGGUGGGAGAAAAGAAAUAGUUCUGGCCUGCCUCACAUAUGCAUGGAUGUGGAAUCCUAAAGAAAAGUCAGAAAACUGGAUUUAGCGACUUACAAACUCUAAAGCGGUAAGACCAGCUUGGGCUUGUACCGGCAGGCUCUCCACCGGAACUUGUUGUUUUCUUUCUUGAUGUGGGGCUGUCACCAAGCUGUGACCAGGUGACCCUCUCGUCAAUGAAAUGCAGCCUCCAGGUGAAAACUUCUAAGGAGAGAGCUCGCAGGCCUCCUCCUGUUCGCUUUCCCCCCUGCUUUCUGUGCAGGCGACCUGCCCCUUAGGGAACGCGGAGUUACCGGGUAGACGGCCGUGUCGGGAGAAGAGCUGCUUGCCAGUCAGACUUCCAUCCUGGGCUGCUAAACAGGCGAUAAACGUUUUGAGCUGGUGCACACUUUGGGAUUCGUGUGUGUGUUUUAGUCUUCUCUAACUAUUUGCGUUAUAAGAUAAAUUUUAUAGUUAAUCGUAUUUAGGGAUUAAGGGAUAAAAUUAUAUGAUCAUAUUAACAGAUGCAGAAAAAAACUGUUUAAUUAAAAAUCCCUGCCAACGAGGAGUGGAAGGGAAUGUCUUGAUUCUGAUACAGGUUAUUUCUAAAAAACCCACAGCAGGCAUUAUAACUAUUGGUGAAAAAUUUAAUGCUUUGCUUUUGAGUUGGGUCCACUAAGGUAAUUAACAAUAAAAAAAAUCAUAUGAUAUAAGGAUUAGAAAGGUGGGAACAACUUGUUAUUUGACAAUAGAAAUGUAGAAAAUCUAGAAGUACUUACAGAUACGUUUUUAGAUGAAUAAAUUUAUAAAGUUGUUGAAUACAUGGUCAGCUAUAAUACCAAUUGCAUUCUGUGGGCCAAAACCAGAAAAUUAGAAUAUUCCAAGUGUUCCUUGGAACAUCCCUGCUGUUUCAGAAGGAGCGUGAGCCAAGCUGUGGUGAGAGGUGGGGUGAGGCGGCUGAGCACUGAGGGGCCCGGGGCCUGGGAGCUCAAGCCUCCCGGUGUGUAAAGCCCAAAUGGAGCUCCAGGCGUGUGGGAUAGAACCGCACCUGGCGUGCGAGUGACGGCCUGGGUGGGCAGCUGGAGGACAGACCUUGGAAAGCCUGGGGGUGACACUGCUGACUUCGGCUGGCUCCCCCCCCGCUACCCAUGGCUGUGGAAAUACAGGGAAGACCGCAGCCCCGUGCCCGGCACACGACAGGGGCUCAGAGAGCGUCGUGGAGGAAGGAAAGAACCUGCUACACAGGACGUGGGUGGGAGCCCCUCCGUCCCUCGCAUCACCUCCUGCCCUCCCUCGCCUCUGCCCUCCCCAUGUCCACCUCCGGGCGCUCCUGCACCAGCGGGACGGUGGCCCGGCUCAUGUCCUGCCUCCAGUCUGCUCUGCUUCGUCCUCCCCCUCGGCUGGCUGGAAGGAGCUUCCCUGAAUGUGGCUCCACCUCCCACCUGCCGUGUACACUUCGUCAUCUCCAGCUCUUGGCGGCCCCGCGGCCUGUUCCCCUCCCCCGUGUGCUGGAAACCCUCAGGGCUGCCCCAUCCCCUUUCAGAUGCCACUUCUGCUGGGAAGCCUUCCCUUCCCUCCCAGCCAAGUGGUACCCCCACCCCGUGCUCCGCAAGGCCUAUGCUCCCGCCCCCAAACGUUUGUUGUAAGGGUCUGAGUACAGGUUUGUGGUCUGCAUGUCCCGGGGGUUGGAAUGCCUGCUCUGAAUGCGGGUAGACCAGGGUGGGGGUGAGUGUGCUCCCAACCCCCAGCUGCUCUCUGCCUCGCAGUGGCUCUAAAGCUUUCCAUUUCUUCUGUCGGGCCCCUAGGAGCAGGUAAUUUUUACCCUUAUGAAUGAAAGCUUAAAACAGCCCCCAGACUUCCUAAUCUAUGGAAAUGAGGCAUUUCUGAGCAAGGAUGUUAUUUACUGUUCAAGAUGUGACCCUGUGAGCUGCUGGGCCCCUUGGCGGGUUCUUGCCGAGAGGGACGAGGUUCCAGGGUAGGUGUGGUUUGCUCGGGGGUGGGGGGGUGGGGUGGGGGGUGGGGCCUCUGUGCUGUAGACGCUGACAGUCAAGCCCCACGGGGCUGCCCGACAGCACAGGACGCCCCGUGGAACGUGAACUUAAGAUAAACAAUGAAUGAUUUUUAGUAUAACAAUGUCCCAUGUAAUGUUUAAAUUUACCUGGGCACCCUGUAGUUUUAGUUGUUAAAUCUGGAUUUGUUAAUUCUAUUUGGAAUAAACUUGGGGAUAAAAUUA
This is a non-coding RNA of Vicugna pacos (alpaca), 5989 nucleotides long. Lineage: Eukaryota; Metazoa; Chordata; Mammalia; Artiodactyla; Camelidae. The record is from RefSeq and is a predicted model, not a curated record.